UAUUGCUCUUCAACGAGGAAUGCCUAGUAGGCACGAGUCAUCAGCUCGUGCCGAUUACGUCCCUGCCCUUUGUACACACCGCCCGUCGCUACUACCGAUUGAAUGGCUCGGUGAGGCCUUCGGACUGGCUCAGGGGAGUUGGCAACGACUCCCCAGAGCCGGAAAGUUGGUCAAACCCGGUCAUUUAGAGGAAGUAAAAGU
Molecule: ribosomal RNA, 201 nt
Filed under: Aspergillus fischeri
Lineage: Eukaryota; Fungi; Ascomycota; Eurotiomycetes; Eurotiales; Aspergillaceae
Description: partial small subunit ribosomal RNA
Rfam family: Eukaryotic small subunit ribosomal RNA
Source: RNAcentral